RNAcentral lists this ribosomal RNA (1372 nucleotides) under uncultured bacterium. RNAcentral describes it as "bacterial SSU rRNA". It matches the Rfam family "Bacterial small subunit ribosomal RNA", at positions 28 to 1381 of the family's 1533-position model. The record is from RNAcentral.
GAUGAACGCUGGCGGCGUGCCUAAUACAUGCAAGUCGAGCGAACGGACGAGAAGCUUGCUUCUCUGAUGUUAGCGGCGGACGGGUGAGUAACACGUGGAUAACCUACCUAUAAGACUGGGAUAACUUCGGGAAACCGGAGCUAAUACCGGAUAAUAUUUUGAACCGCAUGGUUCAAAAGUGAAAGACGGUCUUGCUGUCACUUAUAGAUGGAUCCGCGCUGCAUUAGCUAGUUGGUAAGGUAACGGCUUACCAAGGCAACGAUGCAUAGCCGACCUGAGAGGGUGAUCGGCCACACUGGAACUGAGACACGGUCCAGACUCCUACGGGAGGCAGCAGUAGGGAAUCUUCCGCAAUGGGCGAAAGCCUGACGGAGCAACGCCGCGUGAGUGAUGAAGGUCUUCGGAUCGUAAAACUCUGUUAUUAGGGAAGAACAUAUGUGUAAGUAACUGUGCACAUCUUGACGGUACCUAAUCAGAAAGCCACGGCUAACUACGUGCCAGCAGCCGCGGUAAUACGUAGGUGGCAAGCGUUAUCCGGAAUUAUUGGGCGUAAAGCGCGCGUAGGCGGUUUUUUAAGUCUGAUGUGAAAGCCCACGGCUCAACCGUGGAGGGUCAUUGGAAACUGGAAAACUUGAGUGCAGAAGAGGAAAGUGGAAUUCCAUGUGUAGCGGUGAAAUGCGCAGAGAUAUGGAGGAACACCAGUGGCGAAGGCGACUUUCUGGUCUGUAACUGACGCUGAUGUGCGAAAGCGUGGGGAUCAAACAGGAUUAGAUACCCUGGUAGUCCACGCCGUAAACGAUGAGUGCUAAGUGUUAGGGGGUUUCCGCCCCUUAGUGCUGCAGCUAACGCAUUAAGCACUCCGCCUGGGGAGUACGACCGCAAGGUUGAAACUCAAAGGAAUUGACGGGGACCCGCACAAGCGGUGGAGCAUGUGGUUUAAUUCGAAGCAACGCGAAGAACCUUACCAAAUCUUGACAUCCUUUGACAACUCUAGAGAUAGAGCCUUCCCCUUCGGGGGACAAAGUGACAGGUGGUGCAUGGUUGUCGUCAGCUCGUGUCGUGAGAUGUUGGGUUAAGUCCCGCAACGAGCGCAACCCUUAAGCUUAGUUGCCAUCAUUAAGUUGGGCACUCUAAGUUGACCGCCGGUGACAAACCGGAGGAAGGUGGGGAUGACGUCAAAUCAUCAUGCCCCUUAUGAUUUGGGCUACACACGUGCUACAAUGGACAAUACAAAGGGCAGCGAAACCGCGAGGUCAAGCAAAUCCCAUAAAGUUGUUCUCAGUUCGGAUUGUAGUCUGCAACUCGACUACAUGAAGCUGGAAUCGCUAGUAAUCGUAGAUCAGCAUGCUACGGUGAAUACGUUCCCGGGUCU